UACGGAGGGUGCAAGCGUUGUUCGGAAUUAUUGGGCGUAAAGCGCGCGUAGGCGGGUUUUUAAGUCUGAUGUGAAAUCCCUCGGCUCAACCGAGGACGUGCAUUGGAUACUGGAAGCCUUGAAUCCCGGAGAGGAUGGCGGAAUUCCCAGUGUAGAGGUGAAAUUCGUAGAUAUUGGGAGGAACACCAGUGGCGAAGGCGGCCAUCUGGACGGUGAUUGACGCUGAUGUGCGAGAGCGUGGGUAGCAAACAGG
This 253-nucleotide ribosomal RNA is filed under the name uncultured bacterium. RNAcentral describes it as "partial 16S ribosomal RNA". It matches the Rfam family "Bacterial small subunit ribosomal RNA", at positions 524 to 776 of the family's 1533-position model. The record is from RNAcentral.